Long non-coding RNA from Octopus bimaculoides (California two-spot octopus), 639 nucleotides. RefSeq lists it as uncharacterized. Lineage: Eukaryota; Metazoa; Mollusca; Cephalopoda; Octopoda; Octopodidae. The record is from RefSeq and is a predicted model, not a curated record.
GCUUAGCUGCGGGGACGUUAACAAACCAUCACCAGUUGACACACGAAGUUGGUGGGAGAUGAUAAGCACAGCAUAAACACAAAAACAGACACACUGACACGGUCGAGAGAUCAGUCAUGUGACUCCAUCGUUGACUUGUCAGACUUGUGGUAGCGACAGAAGACAUCUUAAUUGUUCAUUCAAGAUUGUGUAACUACAAAUAGCCGUCUGGAAAAUGAUUACAGAUUACAAAUAACAUAUUCACGGAAUCAACGAAAUCACAGCGACCACAACAACAGCAAAUACAUAAGUCAUUUGACUGUGGCCAUGCUGGAGCACCGCCUUUUAGUCGAGCAAAUCAACCCCAGGACUAAUUCUUGUUGUGGUAGCUGUUGUUGUUGUUGUUUUUGUACUACGACCAUCACCACCGACCAAGAAAAGAUCCAAUAUAUUUAAAAGUUGAAAAACUGAGGAAUUUCGAUGUCUUGAAGAAGUCUAAUGUGGCAAUGUUAGGUAAAUGACUACUUUAGCAUCGCAGUAGAUAAAGAACUUCAGCAUAGCAUGACAGCUUUCAGAGAAGAAAUGUUCGCCAAAGUAGCUUUUUAGCUUUUACACUUCAUCGAUAAAGCGAGCCAAUUGAUUCCUACCAUAUUGCCUAGA